CCGCGGCCGUUCUGGUUGGGCCGGUACACGCUGCCCACGCUGAGGCGGCCCUGCUGCGCGCCGUUCCGCUCCCCACCCGGCGGGGGCGUGUCGGAGCUGCGCACCGGCAGGUAGGGCGGCUCCAGCGCGCGCGGCGGCCCGUACGCCUCGGGCGGCGGGUUGGCGUAGGGCGGGUACCAGCCCAGGCGUGGGUCUCCGCCAUGGGCCUGCGCCGCCUCGGGACCGGGGUCAGGGAGCUCCUGCCUGCCUGGAUGAAGAGGAGGUCAAGACUUUGUCCCCCACUCCGCAAGAUACCCUCUCUGUUCCGGAGCGGUGAGACAGGAUUUCACCAUGUUAGCCAGGAUGGUCUUGAUCUCCUGACCUCAUGAUCUGCCCACCUCGGCCUCCCAAAGUGCUGGGCUUACAGGCGUGAGCCACCGUGCCCGGCCAAAAAUAACUUUUAAAAACAUGAGUAUAGCAUACACACACACAAAAGUCCACAAAUCCUAGGUGUACCACUUGAUGAAUGAUCCCAACGUGAGCACACCUCUGGAUUACCACCUGGAUCAAGAAAUAGGACAUCACAGCAGCUGGCAGCUUCCAAGGAGAAGCUCUGGAAAGUUCUGCCUGUCUCAGCACCUGGCUGGAUCGGAAACGAGUUUUCUUUAACCAGAUUUUUAAUGACUGACUUAUGUGGACAAAUCAUAACUGAAUGAAUCACCUCCUUUGUUGAUUUUUUUGGGUACUUUAUUUGCUAUUAUAAAUGAUGCUGUAAUAAGCACCCUUGAAGAAAUCUUCAUAUCUGCCUCUCCUGUGUAGCAGGUCACAGUGCCUGGGUUUGGUUCUAGCCCUCAUUUGUGAACUGUGUGACUCACCAUGCCUUUUUUCUUUCUGUAAGACAGGAAUAAUGGUAAGAAUUUAAAUGGGGGUAAUAUGGAGCGCGUUUAGUUCAGAGCCUGGUGCAUACAAGCACUCAAUAAGUACUGGCGAUUAUUAGACCUUUAGAUUAAUUUAUUAGAAGUUGGAUUUCUGGUGAAAGGGUUUGAGUGUUUUUGAGGCUUUGGCACAGAAUACCCAGCUGGUCCCAGAAAGGUGGUUCCCAUUUACCUGCCCGAAGGUAAUUCACCCUUACUGAUACUGAGUACUGUUUUCUAAAAGAACAUUAAAAAUUGGAUAGGUUAAAAACAGGUGAAUACAUUUUUUUAGUUGCAUUUUUUUGGUUACCCGUGAGAGUGAACAUGUUGCCAUGUGUUUGCUGACCUCCUAAAUGGUCUAUUUGCUCCUACCUUUGUACCCCAAAAGUCUGCUCUCAAGAUGGUAGCCAGAAUGAUCCUUUUUGAGACAUAAGUCAAAAUUUCACUCUUCUCCUUAAAGCUCUGCAAUGGUUCUCAGGUUAAAAGCCAAAGUCCUGUUCAAGGCCUCCAGGGUCCUCACCACUUGGUCCCUUGCUCUUUCUGUUCUAGCCAACUUGGCCUUCUCCUGCCCCUCCGCCGCACCAUGGCAAUUUCCCCUGCUCUGUGUGGUCAACUACCUGAAUCUGUUCAAAGCUUUGCUCAAAUGUCUCCUUCCUGAUGAGACCUCCCCAGCCCCUGAGCUCCCCAUGCCUCACUCCUGAUCGCCUUACUUAACCCUUCUUUUUCUUUUUUGCCAGUAGUACUUAUCACCGUCUAAAAUACUUCAUAAUUUACUUGUUUAUUGUUUGCCCCUCUCCAAUAGAAUGUAAGCUCCUUGGGGCAGGGACCUUUGUCCUUUGUCUUGUUCACUGCUGUGUCCCAUGUGUAAACUUGUCUGGCACAGAAGAGGUGCUCGAUAAAUAUUUGUUGAGUGAAUGAAUGGUAAAUUUUCUGUUCAUAUUCUUUGACUAUUUUCUAUUGUAAUGUUCAUCUUUUUAGUAUUGGUUUAUAAGAUGUAUAUUUAGCACCUUUUCAUAUAUCACUCUUUGUCACAUAUUAUGCAACUAAUUUGUCAUUUCCAUCAAUUUUUAAAAUACUUUCUUGAUGCUUCAUUUUUAAGCUGUCAGAUUAUUAAUCUUUUCUUUAUGGUCUUGGACUUUAUUGUUGCAUAACCGCUGCCUUCACCAGGAACAUAUAAAUUUUCAAUUAAAUGUUCUUCUGAGAUUUUAUGAUUUCACUUUUUAUAUUAAACUCUUCAUUUUGUCUUCAUGUGUGGUGAGAGGUAAGAACAUAACUUUAAAGCAAAUUAACCAACUAUCCCCAAAUGAAUUAUAAAUAAAUUAAUCAUUUUCCAA
Molecule: long non-coding RNA, 2227 nt
Filed under: Homo sapiens (human)
Lineage: Eukaryota; Metazoa; Chordata; Mammalia; Primates; Hominidae
Description: HSALNT0382241
Source: RNAcentral